UGUUCCCAUUUCUAAAAAUUGAGAAACAUUGUAAUUAUAUUCUCUUAUUACUUAUUUAUUUUAAUAUUAUUAUUUGAUUUGAAGUAGAUGAUAUUCCAAGAAGUAUAUAUAUUUUAAUGUACAUCUUACAAAUUCAACAAUAUUUAGAAGCUCGAAGCACAUGUAAAACUGAAAAUUAUUACUCGUAAAUAUAGUAUGAUAUUACUAUAAAAAUGUACAUAAUUUAUAUUUUCUUUAUUAUAAGAUAUGGAAAUGAUGUUCCACUUAGCCAUGGAACGUUUUCACAUUCUUGCUUCCUUUCAACGCAUAAAUCAGUCUUUGUAACUUUGUAACAAAAAUUGGAAACUGUUCACAGGCGUGCAUAACAAAAAUGGUGAUCAAACAACAAGCAUCUAUAGUGUCGGAAUAUAUUAAAAAUCCAAGCAUUGCAUCAAUUACACAAUUUCUAAAGAUAGAAUGGUACAUGAAUCGAAAAACCCAUAAUAGAAAAGAAAUGCCUGAGAUCGGCAUAGUUGACAUAAAUUUAGAUUUAUGCAUGCAUAACAAAAACGGCGGCCAAACUGCAAGCACCUACAGUGACGGAAUAUAUCACAAAGCCAGCUAAACAUUGCAUCAAUUGCACGAUUUCGAAGGAUGGACUGGUGCGUGGAUCGAGAAGUCCACGAUAGAUUGGAAAUGCUUGAGAUCUCACGAUCUCGUUAUCGAUUAUCUCUGUUCGUUUUGUGCAAAGAGGCAUCACAAUAGUAUAGAAAAAUCCACCAGAAUACAUGAAACCGGCGCAGAAGAUCGCUAGAGAUCGACCAAUUCUUGCGUUCUCCAUCAUAAUUUUUCUAUCUUCCAAACAAUAUUGCGAAGAAACACGGGACCAGUCGAUUCGAAUAUCCUCGAUGCACUUACCGAUAUACGAUCCACGCGAGAGGAGAACAUAGUAUUUGAUUACCGCCAUUAUACAGAAACUAAACGGACCGAUCAUUUUAAUCUUCGUAUCGAGAUCUCCUGUUUUGUCAAGGAGAGUGCACAGGGCGCAGGGUACGAGAAGGAAACCUAUCAGAAAAAUGCUGAUUAAAGUGAGAAUCACAGAAUAGAUUUUCUCUGUGGUGGUGACGCACAAUGAGAGAGGCCAGAUACCGAUUGCUUUCAGCAACCAACGAUUUAUCUGAACACUGUAUAUCCAAUCUUUGCUAUAUGAGACGGAUGACGAAUCCUUAGAUACGAGCAUAAUGGUAACUGACAAGACGAAAGUGCACGAUUAACUGAAGGGAAAGGUAACGUACAAAGCCGAUAGUCAUCGAUUAGUGAAGCUUUCGAUAAUGCGCAUGUGCUAAUUUCAAUACUUUCGAGUAACGAUAAGUCGAUUCAUACGAGUUGCCAGUGCGGUUGAACUCUCUGUCGACCACCAGUUGAUUCGAUUCAUAAGUGCUUAUAUAAAAUAAUGGAAAAAUAUGUUGUAUACAGUGUUAUAUAUAGUGUAAAAAUAUUAAAGAGAUAUUUUUUGUGUGAACUUUCAAACAACAAUAAUUACAUGGAACGAUUAUUAAAUUGGAUUUUUUCUUAGGAUGGUAAAAUUUAUAAAAAGGAUAUUUUAAAUGUUUGAAAUAAGAUUUGAAAACAUGUGUUGGACAAUACCAAUAAAGAAGUUAUUAAACCAAGGUUUCAAACAUAAAAUUAAGAAGAAAAAUUAACAAAGGAAUAGAUGAAUCAGAGAUGCCAUCAGAGAAUUUCAAUUAUAUCAUCAAUUUUAAAAUAUAGAAUAAUUACUUGCAAGAGUUACAAGUGCAUUUCGUUACGUCACUUGACGCAAUAGAUUUAAAUAAGCGAAAGCAGUUUUCAUCACCUGAAGUAACAAUACAUUUUAUAGUAAUCAAUAGAUAUAUACAAAUAUCAAUAAGUAUAUGACUUACAUUACCAAAAGUGUAUAUGGACAUAUGAACUAGCUUACCAGCAGUGAUCUUAAUCACCAUGCUGGAUCUUAAAAUGAUCUGUAUUAAAUUCAGUAUAUCUUUUCCGGAUUUUAGAUAUCUGAAGAAUUAAGAAGAUCGAAGAAAAAAUAGAUGAAUCAGACGUCAAAGAAAUUAUCCGAUUCAUGAAUUUCAACUGUAACAUUGACAAAGUUUAGAUGGUGAUUAAUACAAUAAUUUUUUGUACAGUAUAGAAUUUAUGGUUUUUUUAUUUAGAAUAUUUCAAUUGUAUAUUUAUGAGAUAAUGGAACAUUUCAAUUUUAUUUGAAUUACAAUAUAAGAAUUUUAAAUUAUAUAAAUGAGAUACGUAUUAAUCUUUAUCUUAAGUUUUACAAAUUAAUGUAUAAAAUUACAUAAAGUACGUUUAGUCACGUCACAUGUCGUAAUAAAUUGAAGUAUGUAAAAGUUGUUUUCAUUACCUGGAAUAACAAUGGCUUUUAUGAAGGCAAAAUUUUAUAAUGACAGAUAUAUAUAUACAAGUAAUAAUCUUACAUUGCCAAAUGUGUAUAUGGACAUAUGAGUUAGUUUACCAGCUGUGAUUUUAAUAACGGCAUUGGAUCUUGAGAUGAUCAGAAUUAAAUCAAGAAUGUCUUUACAAGGUGUUUCCAGUAAAAAUAUCCUACCUGUUCGGCAACCAAUUCGCCUAUAUAACAAAAUAUAAAAAUGUUGAAGGUGAACGAAAUGAGUAAUGAUAUGUACUUCCAAUAAAAACAUCCUACCUGUUCGGCAACCAAUUCACCUAUAUAACAAAAUAUGAAAAUAUUGAAAGUAAUCGAUGCAAUUAUUGCUAUGUAAGUAAAUGAAAUUAUCAAUUCAUUCGGAUUCCAUUCCUAUAAAAUCAUAUAUAUAUAAUUAUUGUAAUAUUAAUAUCAAAAAAUAUGUAUAUAUAUAUGUAACUUUUAAAUAUGUAUGUGUACCGAUUGUUUCAAUUUUUUAUUGCAUGCGUACCACGAUUAGAUAAUAUCCGAGAAGACACAUAUUCAUUGUACAGCCUAAAAAUUCUACAAAAGAUAUUUGUUGAAGCGCUCUUUCUGUAAGUGCCAAAAAUCUGAAAUGUGACGAAUACAUGUAUAUUUCCAAAAAAUUUAAAUAUGAAAAAAUUCAAAAUUUCAAAUUUAACAAUUUUUAAUGUUUCUAAAUAUUUAAUUUUUUUAAAUCAACAAUUUUAAAUUUUCAAAUUUUAUUUUUAUUUAAUUUCAAUCUUUCAAAUUAUCAAAUUAACAAAUUAAAAAUAAAAAAUUUCAAACACGAA
Long non-coding RNA from Apis cerana (Asiatic honeybee), 3210 nucleotides. RefSeq lists it as uncharacterized. The record is from RefSeq and is a predicted model, not a curated record. NCBI's taxonomy places the organism in Eukaryota, Metazoa, Arthropoda, Insecta, Hymenoptera, Apidae.